Molecule: non-coding RNA, 31 nt
Filed under: Rattus norvegicus (Norway rat)
Lineage: Eukaryota; Metazoa; Chordata; Mammalia; Rodentia; Muridae
Source: RNAcentral
UAAAACUGCUGGUUUCUUACCCGUAGAUGGU